Molecule: ribosomal RNA, 492 nt
Filed under: uncultured bacterium
Lineage: Bacteria
Description: partial 16S ribosomal RNA
Rfam family: Bacterial small subunit ribosomal RNA
Source: RNAcentral
AGUGAACGCUGGCGGUAGGCCUAACACAUGCAAGUCGAACGGCAGCACAGUAAGAGCUUGCUCUUACGGGUGGCGAGUGGCGGACGGGUGAGGAAUACAUCGGAAUCUACUUUUUCGUGGGGGAUAACGUAGGGAAACUUACGCUAAUACCGCAUACGACCUACGGGUGAAAGCAGGGGAUCUUCGGACCUUGCGCGAUUGAAUGGGCCGAUGUCGGAUUAGCUAGUUGGCGGGGUAAAGGCCCACCAAGGCGACGAUCCGUAGCUGGUCUGAGAGGAUGAUCAGCCACACUUGAACUGAGACACGGUCCAGACUCCUACGGGAGGCAGCAGUGGGGAAUAUUGGACAAUGGGCGCAAGCCUGAUCCAGCCAUACCGCGUGGGUGAAGAAGGCCUUCGGGUUGGAAAGCCCUUUUGUUGGGAAAGAAAAGCAGCAGGUUAAUACCCCGCUGUUCUGACGGUACCCAAAGAAUAAGCACCGGCUAACUUCGUG